ACUCCUACGGGAGGCAGCAGUGGGGAAUUUUGGACAAUGGGCGAAAGCCUGAUCCAGCAAUGCCGCGUGAGUGAAGAAGGCCUUCGGGUUGUAAAGCUCUUUUGUCAGGGAAGAAACGGUGAAAGCUAAUAUCUUUUGCUAAUGACGGUACCUGAAGAAUAAGCACCGGCUAACUACGUGCCAGCAGCCGCGGUAAUACGUAGGGUGCAAGCGUUAAUCGGAAUUACUGGGCGUAAAGCGUGCGCAGGCGGUUUUGUAAGUCUGAUGUGAAAUCCCCGGGCUCAACCUGGGAAUUGCAUUGGAGACUGCAAGGCUAGAAUCUGGCAGAGGGGGGUAGAAUUCCACGUGUAGCAGUGAAAUGCGUAGAUAUGUGGAGGAACACCGAUGGCGAAGGCAGCCCCCUGGGUCAAGAUUGACGCUCAUGCACGAAAGCGUGGGGAGCAAACAGGAUUAGAUACCCUUGUAGUCC
This 469-nucleotide ribosomal RNA is filed under the name uncultured organism. Its description in RNAcentral is "partial 16S ribosomal RNA". It matches the Rfam family "Bacterial small subunit ribosomal RNA", at positions 335 to 796 of the family's 1533-position model. The record is from RNAcentral.